GACGUAGGGUCCGAGCGUUGUCCGGAGUUACUGGGCGUAAAGGGUGCGUAGGCGGGUCUUUAAGUCAGGGGUGAAAUCCUGGAGCUCAACUCCAGAACUGCCUUUGAUACUGAAGAUCUUGAGUUCGGGAGAGGUGAGUGGAACUGCGAGUGUAGAGGUGAAAUUCGUAGAUAUUCGCAAGAACACCAGUGGCGAAGGCGGCUCACUGGCCCGAUACUGACGCUGAGGCACGAAAGCGUGGGGAGCAAACAGG
RNAcentral lists this ribosomal RNA (253 nucleotides) under uncultured bacterium. RNAcentral describes it as "partial 16S ribosomal RNA". It matches the Rfam family "Bacterial small subunit ribosomal RNA", at positions 524 to 776 of the family's 1533-position model. The record is from RNAcentral.